CGAAAGCCGUUGCGGUAAAAGUAGAGCACCUUGGGAUGGGCGCGCACGGCGCGCGGGUCAAAGUCGUCGAGCGAGAGGCCGUCGAGUGAGCGGAUGCGCGACAGCGCCACGUAGGCCUGGCCACAGUCAAAGAUGCCGCUCAUCGAAAUGACGGCCCGGUCCAGCGACAUGCCCUGACACUUGUGGAUGGUCAUGGCCCACGCCAGCAGCAGGGGCACCUGCCAAUAGUUGACGGUGCCCACGCCGGGCUCGGUGAUGGACCACUUGUGCGGCACGAUCCGGGUCUCGAUGCCGCAGGCAAAGGCCACCACGGGGUAGCGCCCGCCGUCGUCGCCCGGCUGCGGUUCGAGCAGCGUCGGAGCCACCGGCCUCUGACGUACGGCGCCAUCCGUUUUGUCGGCGCCAUUGUCCUCAUUGUCAUCGCAUUCCGCGGCGGCAUCAGCCGCGGCCCUUGCGCGCUCCUGUUCCUCGACCGCCGUGGCAAAGCGGCGCACGACACCGCGCGCCCCGUUGACCAGGCCGCGCUCGACAUCCAGAUUGGCCAGCAGGACCACCUGCGCACCCACCUUGAGGUGGACAUAGGGUGCGGCGGGCGCAUUCUUUUCAAGCACUGCCCGGUGGGCGUUGAGCGUGGCCUCGAUCUUGGGCGUCAUCUUGACGCCCUCGUCGAGGCGCCACGGGCACUUGGAGGCAAAGGUCUCGGACUCGCCGGUGAGGCCGUCCAGCCGCGCGGCGUUGAUGGCGGCCACCUGGGCGACGAGCGGGCACAGACGUGUGGGCUCCACGCCGUCGUCGGUGGCGAGCGCGGCGCCGACGCGCGCCGCAAACAGGGCCUCGUCCUCGGGCGUCUGCUCGGCAAAACGCAUGCGGUUGAGCGCGCCCACGAGCGUGUCGUCCUUUUGGCGAAAGACCGUGCGUAGGUCGACCACCUGGAGGGCGAGCGCGCGGUCGGUCCACAGCGGCAGUUCAAAGCAAAACUGCGGGCGCUCGGCGCCGCCCGGUGCCGGCGUCCGAUCGACGAUGGCCGGCAGUUGGGCAAAGUCGCCCACGAGUAUGACCUGGAUGCCGCCAAAGGCGCGGUCCAUGCGGCCGCGCAUCCACCGCGCCAGUUGGUCGCACUUGUGAAAGAACUCGGCGUCGACCAUCGAGAUCUCGUCGACCACGAGCACGUCCAUGGCGCGCCACCGGGCCACAACCUUGGGUCGCGUGCCCAGAGCCGCCUGCAGGGCGGGCAGCGGCUCGGCGCCGAGGCCGCAGCCGAGCACGCGGUGAAGCGUGGUGCCGCCCACGUUGACGGCGGCCAUGCCCGUGCUGCCGGUCACCUGCACGGUCUUGCCCUGGGCGCGCUUGGCGGCAAUGAUGUAGCGCAGGAGAAAGGACUUGCCGGCGCCGCCGCUGCCCGACAGCAACAGAUUGUGGCCGGCCUCGGCCAGCCGUGCGGCAUGCGCCUGCGCCGGCGACCAGCGCACGUCGCGAAAGGUCCCUAGGUCGCUGCCCUCGUCGUCGCCUGCCAUUCUCCUUCUCCCAAGGGUGGGGUGCGAUAGAAAAGUCCUCUUUUCUUGUCUCUGUUCCGUCCGUCGAACCGGUCUUGCAAUUCAACAAGAAGAUUAGGACGGUGGCGGCGAGUUGGGUUUUUCUGGCGGUGGCCGGCACUGGACAGAGAGACCCCCCUUUUGUG
Molecule: long non-coding RNA, 1678 nt
Filed under: Pandoravirus quercus
Description: hypothetical ncRNA
Source: RNAcentral